RNAcentral lists this RNase MRP RNA (259 nucleotides) under Malus domestica (apple). RNAcentral describes it as "sRNA MD07G0148600". It matches the Rfam family "RNase MRP". Rfam says of the family: RNase MRP is an enzymatically active ribonucleoprotein with two distinct roles in eukaryotes. In mitochondria it plays a direct role in the initiation of mitochondrial DNA replication. The record is from RNAcentral. Lineage: Eukaryota; Viridiplantae; Streptophyta; Magnoliopsida; Rosales; Rosaceae.
AUGCCACCGGACGAAGCGAUCGGGCCACAAUUCUGAGAACGGAACGAGGCCCAGGAAAGUCCCCGGGCCAUGAUCUGCAGAGAUGCAGCCCUGGAAACAGGUGGCCUCCGAGUGCUUGGAGUCUUAUCGACUUGUUCGAUGGGCUGAGACACGCGUGGAGCUUUAUAGGCUUCAUGCCCGGAUAUCCUUGGCCAAUGGUAUAGUUAUUCGCUUGGUCAUUUGCUGGACCUAACCGAACGGGGCUUACGUUCUAGUGGCA